GAUGAACGCUGGCGGCGUGCCUAAUACAUGCAAGUCGAGCGAACAGACGAGGAGCUUGCUCCUCUGACGUUAGCGGCGGACGGGUGAGUAACACGUGGAUAACCUACCUAUAAGACUGGGAAACUUUCGGGAAACCGGGCUAAUUACCGGAUAAUAUAUUAACCGGCUUGGUCCAAUAUUAAAAGAGGUCUUUCCUGCCCCUAUUAAUUGAUUCGCGCUGCAUUAGCCAGUUGGUAAGGUAACGGCCUACCAAGGCAACGAUGCGUAGCCGAACUGAGAGGGUGAUCGGCCACACUGGAACUGAGACACGGUCCAGACUCCUACGGGAGGCAGCAGUAGGGAAUCUUCCGCAAUGGGCGAAAGCUUGACGGAGCAACGCCGCGUGAGUGAUGAAGGUCUUCGGAUCGUAAAACUCUGUUAUUAGGGAAGAACAAAUGUGUAAGUAACUAUGCACGUCUUGACGGUACCUAAUCAGAAAGCCACGGCUAACUACGUG
This 496-nucleotide ribosomal RNA is filed under the name uncultured bacterium. Its description in RNAcentral is "partial 16S ribosomal RNA". It matches the Rfam family "Bacterial small subunit ribosomal RNA", at positions 28 to 507 of the family's 1533-position model. The record is from RNAcentral.